Long non-coding RNA from Etheostoma spectabile (orangethroat darter), 387 nucleotides. RefSeq lists it as uncharacterized. The record is from RefSeq and is a predicted model, not a curated record. Lineage: Eukaryota; Metazoa; Chordata; Actinopteri; Perciformes; Percidae. The transcript has 3 exons.
CGAAUAGAGAAAGAAAAAACUGUAAUGUCCCCGAAAGGGCAAUUUUUUGUACAGUACAGGCAUAUUGACACAUAAUCCACAACACAAACAUUGAACCAGACAUCUACAGCACCAGUAAUCUAACACAUAACACACACACACAUCAUAAAACAGAAUACAGUAAAAAGGAGUACCAUGUGUUGCACUUCCCUAAAGGCCUUAUGUCAUAAAUAAAUAAAACUACUACACAGUACUUCACAUAUAUUCGUCCUCCAGUCAUACCCCUCCCCACUUCUUAUUUAAUUGGGUUAUUGCCAUGGGAAUGAGUUAUUUGCUCUGUUGGUUUUAACAUUAGGGUAUCUACUGUAUAUCUACAACCAGAAGGGAGUGGCUUAAACUCCACUGAAA